RNAcentral lists this ribosomal RNA (314 nucleotides) under Bacillus sp. KCB 8. Its description in RNAcentral is "bacterial SSU rRNA". It matches the Rfam family "Bacterial small subunit ribosomal RNA", at positions 536 to 849 of the family's 1533-position model. The record is from RNAcentral. Lineage: Bacteria; Bacillati; Bacillota; Bacilli; Caryophanales; Bacillaceae.
GGGAGGUUACCGGGAUUAUUGGGCGUAAGCGCGCGCAGGUGGUUUCUUAAGUCUGAUGUGAAAGCCCACGGCUCAACCGUGGAGGGUCAUUGGAAACUGGGAGACUUGAGUGCAGAAGAGGAAAGUGGAAUUCCAUGUGUAGCGGUGAAAUGCGUAGAGAUAUGGAGGAACACCAGUGGCGAAGGUUACUUUCUGGUCUGUAACUGACACUGAGGCGCGAAAGCGUGGGGAGCAAACAGGAUUAGAUACCCUGGUAGUCCACGCCGUAAACGAUGAGUGCUAAGUGUUAGAGGGUUUCCGUCCUUUAUUGCUUU